CUAUUGGCAUGAACGUCCAUAUCCCGCAACUCUCCCUCUCGCAAUUCAGUCUUUGAAUUUGAAUACGGUUGUUUUUAGGAGGUUGUCUCUGCCGCGGUCUGCUUCUUCUUCUUCAAUUUUUGCAACAAGAGAACCAUUCAAUUACUCAGUGAUCUCACUUGAUCCGAGAAUGAGUUUCAGAGCUUGACCAUGUGGGUGCUCUUUCUUCUGCAUCGUGUGGGGGAUCUAAUGAGCGCAUUGCUUGAGGACAUGGUUCGAAGUUACUUCUGCUUUGGGAUUGCAGUGUCGUGAACAUACUGUAGGAUUCUUGGAUCAUUGAGGGGCGCUCAUAAUGUCGACUGGUAGCAUUUAAAACCGGGUGGGAAUCGAAUUGGCUCACGGAAUUUCACACCCAAUCCAAUCUUUGCAUUACAGACAUGACUAAUUUUCUCGCAAUUCAUUGAGAGUUUCCUAUGGGUAUGAUACAUUUGCAGUGGAAAAAAAUUUAGGCAGCGUUGAAUUUGGAGUAGAGGGAUAAGCGACAACCAACUAUGGAUGCGGCCGUUUUCAGCUUAAAUUCGAAAGCAGCGCAGGUGAGGCACACGAACUCGGUGACCAGAGGAUGAAUUUAAGAUUGAAGUGUGGUAGACUAUUGAAUGGUCAAGACGGGUGAGGAGGAUGAGGAUGAAGGUGGCACAAUGGAAUUUUCCACUGAAUGUGAUAUGCUCAUGGAGAGCAGCAAGAGAACGUUAUGUCUGCACUUAUUCAAGGUAUGGGGGAGAAGUGAGGUAUUUGGACUCUGGGGUUAGAGGCUUAUAUGCUCUAGAUACGGACUGCUAAUUGAUUCCUAGGGUCGUUCGUGAAAUGGCAAAGAAAAGAAGAGAAUCUCUUCGCAAUCACUGCAGGUUUGACAUCUUUCUGUAUUAAAUGCGGUAAUGGUCGAAUCUUUAGAACCAUUACCGCAUGUAAGUUUGUAUACAGUGCGUAAAAGAUGAUUCAAGGAUGUUUUGGUAUAUGGAUAGCUAUGGUGUACACUGGUGCACAUCUUAGUGGAAGAGAUCCCAAUUGACACUUCUCAUG
Physcomitrium patens is the source of this 1059-nucleotide long non-coding RNA. RefSeq lists it as uncharacterized. NCBI's taxonomy places the organism in Eukaryota, Viridiplantae, Streptophyta, Bryopsida, Funariales, Funariaceae. The record is from RefSeq and is a predicted model, not a curated record.